This 45-nucleotide non-coding RNA is filed under the name Trichobilharzia regenti. Lineage: Eukaryota; Metazoa; Platyhelminthes; Trematoda; Strigeidida; Schistosomatidae. The record is from RNAcentral.
AUCCAGCUGACGAGUCCCACAUAGGGCUAAAUCAUCAUCCUGGAU